GACAGAGGUGGCAAGCGUUGUUCGGAGUUACUGGGCGUAAAGAGCACGUAGGCGGUUGGGUAAGUCCCAUGUAAAAUCCCCCUGCUCAACAGGGGAACGCCAUGGGUGACUGCCUGGCUGGAGGAUGGGAGAGGAGAGCGGAAUUCCCGGUGGAGCGGUGAAAUGCGUAGAGAUCGGGAGGAAGGCCGGUGGCGAAGGCGGCUCUCUGGAACAUUCCUGACGCUGAGGUGCGAAAGCGUGGGGAGCAAAC
Molecule: ribosomal RNA, 250 nt
Filed under: uncultured bacterium
Lineage: Bacteria
Description: partial 16S ribosomal RNA
Rfam family: Bacterial small subunit ribosomal RNA
Source: RNAcentral